GGGUCCCUACGGGAGGCAGCAGUGGGGGAUAUUGCACAAUGGGGGGAACCCUGAUGCAGCGACGCCGCGUGGGUGUAGAAGCGCCUCGGCGCGUAAAGCCCUGUCAGCAGGGAAGAAAAUGACGGUACCUGAAGAAGAAGCCCCGGCUAACUACGUGCCAGCAGCCGCGGUAAUACGUAGGGGGCAAGCGUUAUCCGGAUUUACUGGGUGUAAAGGGGGCGCAGACGGCGAUGCAAGCCAGGAGUGAAGGCCCGGGGCCCAACCCCGGGACUGCUCUUGGAACUGCGGGGUUG
This 293-nucleotide ribosomal RNA is filed under the name uncultured bacterium. Its description in RNAcentral is "partial 16S ribosomal RNA". It matches the Rfam family "Bacterial small subunit ribosomal RNA", at positions 333 to 643 of the family's 1533-position model. The record is from RNAcentral.